UACGGAGGGUGCAAACGUUGUUCGGAAUUACUGGGCGUAAAGCGCGUGUAGGCGGCACAGUAAGUCAGGUGUGAAAUCCCUUGGCUUAACCAAGGAAGUGCACUUGAAACUACUGAGCUAGAGUACGGGAGAGGGUAGUAGAAUUCCCGGUGUAGAGGUGAAAUUCGUAGAUAUCGGGAGGAAUACCGGUGGCGAAGGCGGCUACCUGGACCGAUACUGACGCUGAGACGCGAAAGCGUGGGGAGCAAACAGG
RNAcentral lists this ribosomal RNA (253 nucleotides) under uncultured bacterium. RNAcentral describes it as "partial 16S ribosomal RNA". It matches the Rfam family "Bacterial small subunit ribosomal RNA", at positions 524 to 776 of the family's 1533-position model. The record is from RNAcentral.